RNAcentral lists this ribosomal RNA (305 nucleotides) under uncultured bacterium. RNAcentral describes it as "partial 16S ribosomal RNA". It matches the Rfam family "Bacterial small subunit ribosomal RNA", at positions 508 to 807 of the family's 1533-position model. The record is from RNAcentral.
ACAGCAGUCGCCGCGGUAAUACAGAGGGUGCAAGCGUUAAUCGGAUUUACUGGGCGUAAAGGGCGCGUAGGUGGUUAUGUAAGUGAGAUGUGAAAUCCCCGGGCUCAACCUGGGAACUGCAUCUUAUACUGCGUAGCUGGAGUGCAGUAGAGGGUAGUGGAAUUUCCGGUGUAGCGGUGAAAUGCGUAGAUAUCGGAAGGAACACCAGUGGCGAAGGCGGCUACCUGGACUGACACUGACACUGAGGCGCGAAAGCGUGGGGAGCAAACAGGAUUAGAUACCCCCGUAGUCCCUGUCUCUUAUAC